AGGAGGUGGAGCUGAGCAGGCAGCAAAAACGUCAGGGACUCCAACAAGGGAGAAAGAAAGAAACACAGAAAAAAAUGGCGAGAGGCUGCGAAGAAAGGCCAAGGGAAGAGUAAAGAACGAGGGCUACAGAAUAACACUUGGAGCAGUGGACUGCAGAGCAGGAGAGCAAAUUUGGUCUUUGUAAGGCACGCCGGAGGAAGAGAGCACUGGAUGUUUUGUAGUGCUGCCGCUACGGGAGCCAGAGCCUCCCUCUCCCACUGGUGGUGAGGCGUGACAGCGCUCAGACCACACGCGGAGCAGCCGAGUUUCACUUCUGCCGAAAGGUGUUCAGCCCCACAGCUCUCCGCGGCUCCCACGCGCGAGGCUGGAGGGUCACCUGCAAAACCCUGCAUUUUGUGCCAGGCACGAGAGUCCCCGCAGAAGGGGCUGCUGCAUGUCGCCCGCAUGCGGCACUCUCUUCUCGGGGGGGACGGAGGUGGAUACGCAUUCACUUGCUGCUCACCUCAGGCCAUGGUUUUUAGUUAAAUUCCUGCAUGGUGUCACAAGCAUGCUCCAAACCCAUGAGGGGCAGUGUUCGGGGGAGGUUUCCCUCGCUGCUGGAAGCCAAAGCUGUUCCACUGAAGAGUUACUGGGACAGAAAGCAAGCGAGAAAGAGAAUGACUCUGUGCUCUGAGCCUGCUGUAAUGUUUGAAGACCAGGGAAAUAAAUAAAAUUCGUUUUAGAUGGUCUCA
Long non-coding RNA from Dromaius novaehollandiae (emu), 731 nucleotides. RefSeq lists it as uncharacterized. Lineage: Eukaryota; Metazoa; Chordata; Aves; Casuariiformes; Dromaiidae. The transcript is spliced from 2 exons. The record is from RefSeq and is a predicted model, not a curated record.